GACGAACGCUGGCGGCGUGCUUAACACAUGCAAGUCGAACGGAAAGGCCCUGCUCUUGUGGGGUGCUCGAGUGGCGAACGGGUGAGUAACACGUGAGUAACCUGCCCUUGACUUUGGGAUAACUUCAGGAAACUGGGGCUAAUACCGGAUAGGAGCUCCUGCUGCAUGGGGGGGGUUGGAAAGUUUCGGCGGUUGGGGAUGGACUCGCGGGUUAUCAGCUUGUUGGUGGGGUAGUGGCUUACCAAGCGUUUGACGGGUAGCCGGCCUGGGAGGGUUACCGGCGACAUGGGGCCUGCGAGACGGCCCAGACUCCUACGGGAGGCAGCAGGGGGGAAUAUUACACAGUAGGCGGAAGCCUGAUGCAGCAACGUCGCGUGCGGGAUGACGGCCUUCGGGUUAUAAACCGCUUUCGCCUGUGACGAAGAGUGAGUGACGGUAAUGGGUAAAGAAGCACCGGCUAACUACGUG
Molecule: ribosomal RNA, 468 nt
Filed under: uncultured bacterium
Lineage: Bacteria
Description: partial 16S ribosomal RNA
Rfam family: Bacterial small subunit ribosomal RNA
Source: RNAcentral